Molecule: long non-coding RNA, 1012 nt
Organism: Cyprinus carpio carpio
Lineage: Eukaryota; Metazoa; Chordata; Actinopteri; Cypriniformes; Cyprinidae
Source: Ensembl
ACUCUAUUCAUUCACAACCAACAGAGAGAGUUUGAAUCGUUGCGGCAAACUGUGUCUGGUGAAGUGGGCGUCACCAAGAGCGCUUAAGAGAAAGUCUGUGUGUGGACCUGUGACUCUACAUGAAUGACUCAAGUGAAGAAACACGCGUGAAACCACUAUUUCAAAGGAAAAAGAAGAGGAAGAAGGGACAUCUUUAACUUUCGCAGUGGAACUUGAGUGCGCAUUUGCGCAAAGUCUCUCCAAAGUCACUUGGUAACUUUUGCGCACCAGUGCAGCUCCAUUCUCAAGCAGUUUUGGGUCACUGCGAGGAGAGACUGUCGUCCAGCAGAAUGGCGUCAGACGUGGGCCGUAGCACUUGAGGUCAGCCACUCACUCAGCGCACAGUGUUUAUUCUGUCUUCAGGUCCUCCUGGGAAGUUCCUACUUAAGAGUUCGGAAGUCAUAAUUAUGAUGUGAAGUGAUUUGGCUUGAAAUAAUACGGAUGAGUUGAGCAUAUUUAUGUGUCUUUAACCCAGCUAACAGGGAAUGUUCACAGAACUUGGUUAGAAUGUUAAUACAGUGUUCAUUCAAAGUUCGUGAGAUACACACUUAUCUAAUGUGUGUCAUUAUUUUGGAAUGUUCAGAGAACAUUCGAAAGUAACGUUCCCAUAAUGUUUGCAAAAUUAUUAAAUUAAAUGUUUGCAUAACCAAAAAAAAGAAGGAAAAAAAAAACGUUUUUGAAACAUUUAGAUAUUUAGAAUGUUCACACUUUUGUCAGAAGUAAUAUUUUCAUAACUUAAUGCAUAGUAACGUUAAACAUUCUUAGAACAUUUUUGUUAGCUGGGAACCUUACAAUGCAUUUUUAGUCUAAAUGAAGAAGAAAUGAUGCACAUUAGGUGCAAUUUAAGAUGAAUUGUAAAAAAUAUAUAUUUUAUCAUUCUUGUGAAACCGCAUAUAAUGACUGAAAAUGUAUUUCACAAAAUGUUUACAAAUUAGUUUUACAUUAUAUCAACAUUCACACCCUUGGUUCCACA